This 289-nucleotide long non-coding RNA is filed under the name Mustela putorius furo (domestic ferret). RNAcentral describes it as "lncRNA (ENSMPUG00000026374.1)". The record is from RNAcentral. Lineage: Eukaryota; Metazoa; Chordata; Mammalia; Carnivora; Mustelidae.
UCAGUCCGCUGGGCUCUCAAUCAGGUUUUCAAAAUACUAAUCUUGAUCUAAGAGCCCCUAUCUCUACAUCAGUGGAGGAAAUGAUCAUUUUUAGAGGCUUCUGGGCAUGGGGAAGAAGAAUGGUUUUCAGAUCGCAGAAGACCUGAAAGACUGGUCUGGCGUUCUCUUUACUGUGGACGCACUGCUGGACGAGGACCUUUUCCCGGGGUGUGAUUGUGUGCACACAGCCUUGCUCUGUAGGCCUCCCGGCGGCGGAGCCGUUUAUAAACAUCCUUCAUCAGUAGGAUGA